RNAcentral lists this ribosomal RNA (397 nucleotides) under uncultured bacterium. RNAcentral's name for it is "partial 16S ribosomal RNA". It matches the Rfam family "Bacterial small subunit ribosomal RNA", at positions 523 to 918 of the family's 1533-position model. The record is from RNAcentral.
AUACGUAGGGAGCAAGCGUUGUCCGGAAUUACUGGGCGUAAAGGGCGUGUAGGCGGCCGAUCAAGUCAGGUGUGAAAUUUCAGGGCUCAACCCUGAGCGUGCACUUGAAACUGGUUGGCUUGAGUGCAGAAGAGGAAAGUGGAAUUCCCAGUGUAGCGGUGAAAUGCGUAGAUAUUGGGAGGAACACCAGUGGCGAAGGCGACUUUCUGGUCUGUAACUGACGCUGAGGCGCGUAAGCUGGGGGAGCGAACAGGAUUAGAUACCCUGGUAGUCCACACUGUAAACGAUGAAUGCUAGGUGUAGGGGGUAUCGACCCCUUCUGUGCCGCAGUCACCACAAUAAGCAUUCCGCCUGGGGCGUACGGCCGCAAGGUUGAAACUCAAAUGAAUUGACGGGG